GACUGGUCUGAUGGUAGUGGGUUAUCAGAACUUAUUAACAUUAGUGUCACUAAAGUUGGUAUACAACCCCCUCUACGGCUAAAUUGGCUUAAA
This 93-nucleotide non-coding RNA is filed under the name Propithecus coquereli (Coquerel's sifaka). The record is from RNAcentral. Lineage: Eukaryota; Metazoa; Chordata; Mammalia; Primates; Indriidae.